UGGGGAAUAUUGGACAAUGGGCGCAAGCCUGAUCCAGCCAUGCCGCGUGAGUGACGAAGGCCUUAGGGUUGUAAAGCUCUUUUGGCGGGGAAGAUAAUGACGGUACCCGCAGAAUAAGCUCCGGCUAACUUCGUGCCAGCAGCCGCGGUAAUACGAAGGGAGCUAGCGUUGUUCGGAAUCACUGGGCGUAAAGCGCACGUAGGUGGGCAGUUAAGUCAGGGGUGAAAGCCCGAGGCUCAACCUCGGAAUUGCCUCUGAUACUGGCUGUCUAGAGUUCGAGAGAGGUGAGUGGAAUUCCUAGUGUAGAGGUGAAAUUCGUAGAUAUUAGGAAGAACACCGGCGGCGAAGGCGGCUCACUGGCUCGAUACUGACACUGAGGUGCGAAAGCGUGGGGAGCAAACAGGAUUAGAUACCCAGGUAGUCCCUGAGCGGGCUGGCAAGGCGCAU
Molecule: ribosomal RNA, 447 nt
Filed under: uncultured bacterium
Lineage: Bacteria
Description: bacterial SSU rRNA
Rfam family: Bacterial small subunit ribosomal RNA
Source: RNAcentral